RNAcentral lists this unclassified non-coding RNA (292 nucleotides) under fungal sp. Its description in RNAcentral is "partial internal transcribed spacer region". The stretch from base 1 to 46 matches the Rfam family "Eukaryotic small subunit ribosomal RNA", at positions 1786 to 1831 of the family's 1831-position model. The record is from RNAcentral. Lineage: Eukaryota; Fungi.
AAGUCGUAACAAGGUUUCCGUAGGUGAACCUGCGGAAGGAUCAUUAAUGAAAUGAUAAUUUUUUGGGGUUUUCCCUGAAAAAUAAUUCACCUUUUGUGCAUUGUUAUUAGAUAUACUUUGGUUAGAGCUUUGAUUUCAUUUAUUGGAAUCAACUUCUUGCUAACUCUAUCCUGUUAAGGACAGUUGGCUAUGAAGCGGCCUACCAAGGUUUUUUUAUCAAACUCUUGUAUUUUGUCUGACCUAAACUAUUAUAAUUAAAUCAUAACUUUCAACAACGGAUCUCUUGGCUCUC